RNAcentral lists this ribosomal RNA (490 nucleotides) under uncultured bacterium. RNAcentral describes it as "bacterial SSU rRNA". It matches the Rfam family "Bacterial small subunit ribosomal RNA", at positions 29 to 500 of the family's 1533-position model. The record is from RNAcentral.
AACGAACGCUGGCGGCGUGCCUAACACAUGCAAGUCGAGCGCGAAAGGAGCAAUCCGAGUAGAGCGGCGCACGGGUGCGUAACACGUGGGUAAUCUGCCUCAAAGUCUGGAAUAACCUUCCGAAAGGUUGGCUAAUGCCGGAUAAGCUCACGGGGUCUUCGGACUCUGGGGGAAAAGGUGGCCUCUGUUUACAAGCUACCACUUUGAGAUGAGCCCGCGGCCCAUCAGCUAGUUGGCGGGGUAACGGCCCACCAAGGCAACGACGGGUAGCUGGUCUGAGAGGACGAUCAGCCACACUGGAACUGAGACACGGUCCAGACUCCUACGGGAGGCAGCAGUGGGGAAUUUUGCACAAUGGGCGAAAGCCUGAUGCAGCAACGCCGCGUGUGUGAUGAAGGUUUUCGGAUCGUAAAGCACUUUCGACCGGGACGAAUAAGCUUCACCUAAUACGUGAGGCCCUGACGGUACCGGGAGAAGAAGCACCGGCUAA